RNAcentral lists this non-coding RNA (172 nucleotides) under Photobacterium jeanii. RNAcentral's name for it is "Lysine sequence". It matches the Rfam family "Lysine riboswitch aptamer". From Rfam's summary of the family: Riboswitches are metabolite binding domains within certain messenger RNAs that serve as precision sensors for their corresponding targets. Allosteric rearrangement of mRNA structure is mediated by ligand binding, and this results in modulation of gene expression. This family includes riboswitches that sense lysine in a number of genes involved in lysine metabolism, including lysC. Lineage: Bacteria; Pseudomonadati; Pseudomonadota; Gammaproteobacteria; Vibrionales; Vibrionaceae. The record is from Rfam by way of RNAcentral.
CCCUAAAGUAGAGGCGCGCUGCCUAAAAGUAUCCGAGCGGAGGGUGAUUCCGAUGAUGCCGGGGAAAGGAGUCAGCGCCGAAGUGACUGUUGCUAUCAAUCUCAGUCGCUGGGUCUGUGUCGAAUAGGUACAGAACUGCCAUAGAUUAUUACUAUGGAGCGCUACCUGAAGG